Molecule: transfer RNA, 69 nt
Filed under: Phalanger orientalis (gray cuscus)
Lineage: Eukaryota; Metazoa; Chordata; Mammalia; Diprotodontia; Phalangeridae
Also listed under: 1 other name
Description: tRNA-His
Rfam family: tRNA
About the family: Transfer RNA (tRNA) molecules are approximately 80 nucleotides in length. Their secondary structure includes four short double-helical elements and three loops (D, anti-codon, and T loops).
Source: RNAcentral
GCAAAUAUAGUUUAACAAAAACAUUAGAUUGUGAAUCUAAAUAUAGAAGUUAAAACCUUCUUAUAUGCC